RNAcentral lists this ribosomal RNA (307 nucleotides) under uncultured bacterium. RNAcentral describes it as "bacterial SSU rRNA". It matches the Rfam family "Bacterial small subunit ribosomal RNA", at positions 28 to 334 of the family's 1533-position model. The record is from RNAcentral.
GAUGAACGCUGGCGGCGUGCUUAACACAUGCAAGUCGAACGGUGAAGCAGAGCUUGCUCUGUGGAUCAGUGGCGAACGGGUGAGUAACACGUGAGCAACCUGCCCCUGACUCUGGGAUAAGCGCUGGAAACGGCGUCUAAUACUGGAUAUGAGCUGCGACCGCAUGGUCAGCAGUUGGAAAGAUUUUUCGGUCUGGGAUGGGCUCACGGCCUAUCAGCUUGUUGGUGAGGUAAUGGCUCACCAAGGCGUCGACGGGUAGCCGGCCUGAGAGGGUGACCGGCCACACUGGGACUGAGACACGGCCCAG